UGGUUCUGGCGUCGAUGAAGAACGCAGCGAAAUGCGAUAAGUAAUGUGAAUUGCAGAAUUCAGUGAAUCAUCGAAUCUUUGAACGCAUAUUGCGCCCUUUGGCAUUCCGAAGGGCAUGCCUAUUCGAGCGUCAUUAGCUAAACUCAAGCCCGGCUUGUCAUUGGACCCCGUCGUUGAAGAUGGGUCUGGAAGUUAAUGGCGGUGUCGUCGAGACCCCAGAUGCAGCGAGCUUUCUUGGCAUACAUCUGCGCGGUCCCGGCGGCCCGGCCUCGCAUGGUCCCACCCGCGGCGCAGCCCGGGGCGGACAUUUCUCGCAGGUUGACCUCGGAUUAGGUAGGAAUACCCGCUGA
RNAcentral lists this unclassified non-coding RNA (350 nucleotides) under uncultured fungus. RNAcentral describes it as "partial contains 5.8S ribosomal RNA and internal transcribed spacer 2". The stretch from base 1 to 133 matches the Rfam family "5.8S ribosomal RNA", at positions 22 to 154 of the family's 154-position model. Lineage: Eukaryota; Fungi. The record is from RNAcentral.